AGUCUUACAGCUAGCCCAACCCCCUAUGACAAAUAUUACACUAUAAAUAUAACCCAAAUUAUCUAAAGACAAUAAAGCAAAUCAUUUUCCCCUCCAAGUAUAGGAGAUAGAAAAGAGGCCUACGGCGCAAUAAAGAAAGUACCGCAAGGGAAAGCUGAAAGAGAAAUGAAACAACCCAGCAAAACUUUAAAAAGCAGAGAUAAGCCCUCGUACCUUUUGCAUCAUGAUUUAGCCAGCAAAAUUUAAGCAAAGCGCACUUUAGUUUAAACCCCCGAAACUAAGUGAGCUACUUCAAGACAGCCUAUAGUAAGGGCGCACCCUUCUCUGUGGCAAAAGAGUGGGAUGAUCUUCGAGUAGCGGUGACAGACCUACCGAACUUAGUUAUAGCUGGUUGCUUGAGAAGUGGAUAGGAGUUCAGCCUUCUUGGUUCUCCCCUCAAUUGGGCACGUGCCCCAACACGUCACUUGAGAAACAAGAAGAGUUAGUCAAAGGGGGUACAGCCCCUUUGAAAAAGGACACAACCUUACUAGGAGGUUUCAGAUCACAACAAAAAAGGUCUUUGUCGAAGUGGGCUUAAAAGCAGCCAUCUCUCGUGAAAAGCGUCCAAGCUUAGAUAGUUUUCUAGAUCCUUCAAUCCCGACAAUUAAAUCUCAACCCCUAACUUUACCAAGCUAUCCCAUGCCCCCAUGGGAGUAAUCCUGCUAAUAUGAGUAAUAAGAGGACCUAGACCCUCUCCCCAGCACAAGUGUACAUCGGAACGAACCCCCACCGAAAACUAACGGCCCCAAUAAAAGAGGGAACUGAAAAGUGAAUAACAUAAACCAGAAAAAUCUCCAACAAAAAACCGUUAACCCCACACUGGUGUGCCUGAGGGGAAAGGCUAAAAAAGAAAGAAGGAACUCGGCAAACACUUAAAGCCUCGCCUGUUUACCAAAAACAUCGCCUCUUGCAAAACUAACGAAUAAGAGGUCCCGCCUGCCCGGUGACUUUAUGUUUAACGGCCGCGGUAUUUUGACCGUGCAAAGGUAGCGCAAUCACUUGUCUUUUAAAUGGAGACCUGUAUGAAUGGCAUCACGAGGGCUUAACUGUCUCCUUUCUUAGGCCAAUGAAAUUGAUCUCCCCGUGCAGAAGCGGGGAUAAUAACAUAAGACGAGAAGACCCUAUGGAGCUUUAGACACUAAGACAGCCUACGUCAAAAUACCCCUUCAUACAGAAAUGAACUAAAUAGGACCUGUCCUAAUGUCUUUGGUUGGGGCGACCCUGGGGAAAUAAAGAGCACCCAUGUGGACUGGAAACAUGUUUCCAAAACCAAGAGCAACCACUCUAAGAAGCAGAACUUCUGACCAAUCUGAUCCGGCAAAGCCGAUCAACGGACCGAGUUACCCUAGGGAUAACAGCGCGAUCCCCUUUUAGAGGCCAUAUCGACAAGGGGGCUUACGACCUCGAUGUUGGAUCAGGACAUCCUAAUGGUGCAGCCGUCAUUAAGGGUUCGUUUGUUCAACGAUUAAAGUCCUACGUGAUCUGAGUUCAGACCGGAGCAAUCCAGGUCAGUUUCUAUCUAUGACAUGACCUUUUCUAGUACGAGAGGACCGAAAAGGAAAGGCCCAUAUUAUAAGUAUGCCUUACCCCUACCCACUGAAACCAAAUAAACCGGCCAAAGGGGCAUAUUCCCGAGCCUGAGAACAUGGCAU
RNAcentral lists this ribosomal RNA (1691 nucleotides) under Halichoeres hartzfeldii (Hartzfeld's wrasse). Its description in RNAcentral is "16S ribosomal RNA". It matches the Rfam family "Bacterial large subunit ribosomal RNA". Lineage: Eukaryota; Metazoa; Chordata; Actinopteri; Labriformes; Labridae. The record is from RNAcentral.